This 490-nucleotide ribosomal RNA is filed under the name uncultured bacterium. RNAcentral's name for it is "partial 16S ribosomal RNA". It matches the Rfam family "Bacterial small subunit ribosomal RNA", at positions 30 to 507 of the family's 1533-position model. The record is from RNAcentral.
AUUGAACGCUGGCGGCAGGCCUAACACAUGCCAGUCGAACGGUAACAGGAAACAGCUUGCUGUUUCGCUGACGAGUGGCGGACGGGUGAGUAAUGUCUGGGAAACUGCCUGAUGGAGGGGGAUAACUACUGGAAACGGUAGCUAAUACCGCAUAACGUCGCAAGACCAAAGAGGGGGACCCUCGGGCCUCUUGCCAUCGGAUGUGCCCAGAUGGGAUUAGCUUGUUGGUGGGGUAACGGCUCACCAAGGCGACGAUCCCUAGCCGGUCUGAGAGGAUGACCAGCCACACUGGAACUGAGACACGGUCCAGACUCCUACGGGAGGCAGCAGUGGGGAAUAUUGCACAAUGGGCGCAAGCCUGAUGCAGCCAUGCCGCGUGUAUGAAGAAGGCCUUCGGGUUGUAAAGUACUUUCAGCGGGGAGGAAGGGAGUAAAGUUAAUACCUUUGCUCAUUGACGUUACCCGCAGAAGAAGCACCGGCUAACUCCGUG